Molecule: ribosomal RNA, 253 nt
Filed under: uncultured bacterium
Lineage: Bacteria
Description: partial 16S ribosomal RNA
Rfam family: Bacterial small subunit ribosomal RNA
Source: RNAcentral
UACGUAGGGGGCAAGCGUUGUCCGGAUUUAUUGGGCGUAAAGGGCGCGUAGGCGGUUUCUUAAGUUUGAAGUGACAGUGGGUGGCUUAACUACCCAAGGCCUUUGAAAACUGGAGCACUUGAGGACCAGAGAGGGACAUAGAAUUCCGGGUGGAGUGGUGAAAUGCGUAGAUAUCCGGAGGAAUACCAAAGGCGAAGGCAGUGUCCUGGAGGGUGACUGACGCUGAGGCGCGAAAGCUAGGGGAGCGAACAGG